GACUAGCAUACACCAUCAUCUUUGUACAUUGACGAGAACACGCAAACUCACCAGUAUGAUGGAACUCAUUUGUACAACACUCAAUACAGUGCGCUCUUAUAGAAAAAAGAAUGUGCGGGUAUUUAGUGAGUUUGAGUCCUGGGAAAACGUUAGUGCCGUAAAUGCAAAGGAGACAGUAAAUAUCCAAACAUUUGUGAAACUGUAGGAGUAAAUUUAAUUCUACAACAACAACCGUUUUUUAUUACACAAAUGGUUGUGGUUCGGGUGUCAACGUCGCGUUACCGCUCUUCCGAUGUUUGGUUGUUGGCAAUGCCGGUCGCCACAAAUACUAAUAUUAAAAAUGGAUAAUAGAUCGGACUUUAAUUAUUCUACAAACAUGUUGAAGUCACAGCUAUUGACAAUCCUGGCCCAUUUGUAUGCAGAACUAAUCUUAAUGACGAUUUUCACUCUCCUAAUGAA
This is a long non-coding RNA of Drosophila simulans, 459 nucleotides long. RefSeq lists it as uncharacterized. The transcript has 3 exons. Lineage: Eukaryota; Metazoa; Arthropoda; Insecta; Diptera; Drosophilidae. The record is from RefSeq and is a predicted model, not a curated record.